AGCAGUCGCCGCGGUAAUACAGAGGCCUCAAGCGUUGUUCGGAUUCAUUGGGCGUAAAGGGAGCGUAGGCGGUUGGGUAAGUUGGAUGUGAAAUCCUGGGGCUCAACCUCAGAACUGCAUUCAAUACUGCUUGGCUAGAGUACUGGAGAGGUGAGUGGAAUUCACGGUGUAGCAGUGAAAUGCGUAGAUAUCGUGAGGAAGACCAGCGGCGAAGGCGGCUCACUGGACAGUUACUGACGCUGAUGCUCGAAGGCCAGGGGAGCAAACGGGAUUAGAUACCCGGGUAGUCCCUGUCUCUUAUAC
RNAcentral lists this ribosomal RNA (303 nucleotides) under uncultured bacterium. RNAcentral's name for it is "partial 16S ribosomal RNA". It matches the Rfam family "Bacterial small subunit ribosomal RNA", at positions 507 to 807 of the family's 1533-position model. The record is from RNAcentral.